GUCUCCCUCUGCCCACCCACCUGCACCUGACAGCUGUGGGCUGUGCUCUCAGGGAGGCACCGUCAGAUGCUACCAGACUACAGAGGAGAGCACCCUCAAUCCUGACUGAAGGUUUGGGAAAAGGCUGCUCAGAAGAGGUGAUACUUGAUAUGGGCCCUGGAGGAGGAGAAGCAGUUUGAGAAGACAGCAGUGAGAGAUGGCAUCCGGGCAGGCGAGAAAUGCAAAGGGAAGAGAGGUCAUCCAGGACAAAAGUACAGAAUGAAAAGAAAAAGCAACUAAGCACGAAAUCUUGGAGAAUGUCCUCAUUGAAGGGUCCUGAGCACCAAGGGUACAGUCAGAAAUGAUGAAUCCAGAAAUGAUGCCCUCCAGAACUUCUGGUGAGGAAGGCACUCAGGAAAAUGCAGCACCCUAUGGAGGCCCAGAAAGGAGGGCAUUCAGGAAGAACACAGUCUGAUGGUGUCAAGUGCAGCGGAGGCUAAGAGCCUCAGUGCCUCCUUCAGAGAUGCGGUGGAUAUUAGCUUCUGUUGUAUCCUUCAUACAGAACCUGGUGCUGAGAGACAGCUUCUUCUUUUUUUUUUUUUCUUUAAACUUUUCUUAAGACUAGUCAAGUACAGUAUCAAGAAGACGGGAAAGAGUAGAACAAGGAAUUGGAUCCGUAACUGACUGUGAACAAUCAAUUGAGGUAACUCAUUACCUUUGAACCAACCUGGGAGGCAGCCUUGUGACUCACCUCAAUCCUCAAUCUUCUCAGCUAGUUCACUUUGGCCUGGCUCAGGGGCUGACCUAGAAUGAUCCUGUCCAGAAGGACCCUGGAUGUUCUUAGAGACACAGACUGCUAGGGCUGGCAGGGACUUUUCAUCCAAUUCCUCUGUGACAGAGGAGGAAGUGGAGGUGCAGAAGGAGAGGUGAGCUGCCUGUGGUCCUUCAGCUUACUAAUGGCAGUGUUAGGACUGGACCUGAGGGCUCUUCCCUCCAGUCCGGCGCUAUUUAUUCCAUGACAGUGCCUCUCAAACUGUGUUCUCACAAGCAGCUAGUGCUCAGGCAGCUGGACUGAGGCCCUGCCUGCCAAAUCAAAUAUUGGAGGUCUUUCUCCAAUGUGCAGAAAAAAAAAGUAAUUAAUGGGUUAAGUUUCCUUAGGGUUAAAUUAUUUUUCCAUUAAUGCUUCUUAAACCAUUGUCACCUGCUACCAAUUGUCUACUAGCCAAUGCAUGCAGGCAACAAAACAAAAGGAUAAGCCACAAGUAAAUAAGAACAAGAACAACCAAAGCCUUGGAAACACACCAUCAUUCUUAAGUUAAAGGCUUAAAAAAAAAAUAGAGGAAGACUGCUAUGACUGUGGACUUUCUAUUGCAUUCACAUAAUAAAAUCAUGCGACAUUGUUUUGAAUUCAAA
RNAcentral lists this long non-coding RNA (1392 nucleotides) under Homo sapiens (human). RNAcentral describes it as "non-protein coding LINC00486:26". Lineage: Eukaryota; Metazoa; Chordata; Mammalia; Primates; Hominidae. The record is from RNAcentral.